CCUACGGGUGGCUGCAGUGGGGAAUAUUGGACAAUGGGCGAAAGCCUGAUCCAGCCAUGCCGCGUGUGUGAAGAAGGCCUUCGGGUUGUAAAGCACUUUCAGUGGGGAAGAAAGCCUUGGGGCUAAUACCCUCGAGGAAGGACAUCACCCACAGAAGAAGCACCGGCUAACCCCGUGCCAGCAGCCGCGGUAAUACGGAGGGUGCGAGCGUUAAUCGGAAUUACUGGGCGUAAAGCGCGCGUAGGCGGUCUGAUAAGCCGGUUGUGAAAGCCCCGGGCUCAACCUGGGAACGGCAUCCGGAACUGUCAGGCUAGAGUGCAGGAGAGGAAGGUAGAAUUCCCGGUGUAGCGGUGAAAUGCGUAGAGAUCGGGAGGAAUACCAGUGGCGAAGGCGGCCUUCUGGACUGACACUGACGCUGAGGUGCGAAAGCGUGGGUAGCAAACAGGAUUAGAUACCCCUGUAGUC
This 465-nucleotide ribosomal RNA is filed under the name Vreelandella stevensii. RNAcentral's name for it is "partial 16S ribosomal RNA". It matches the Rfam family "Bacterial small subunit ribosomal RNA", at positions 338 to 795 of the family's 1533-position model. Lineage: Bacteria; Pseudomonadati; Pseudomonadota; Gammaproteobacteria; Oceanospirillales; Halomonadaceae. The record is from RNAcentral.